CCCAGACUCCUACGGGAGGCAGCAGUGGGGAAUAUUGCACAAUGGGGGAAACCCUGAUGCAGCGACGCCGCGUGAGUGAAGAAGUAUCUCGGUAUGUAAAGCUCUCUCAGCAGGGAAGAAAAUGACGGUACCUGACUAAGAAGCCCCGGCUAACUACGUGCCAGCAGCCGCGGUAAUACGUAGGGGGCAAGCGUUAUCCGGAUUCACUGGGUGUAAAGGGAGCGUAGACGGCGACGCAAGUCUGGAGUGAAAGCCCGGGGCCCAACCCCGGGACUGCUCUGGAAACUGUACGGCUGGAGUGCAGGAGAGGUAAGUGGAAUUCCUAGUGUAGCGGUGAAAUGCGUAGAUAUUAGGAGGAACACCAGUGGCGAAGGCGGCUUACUGGACUGUAACUGACGUUGAGGCUCGAAAGCGUGGGGAGCAAACAGGAUUAGAUACCCCCGUAU
This 446-nucleotide ribosomal RNA is filed under the name uncultured bacterium. RNAcentral describes it as "bacterial SSU rRNA". It matches the Rfam family "Bacterial small subunit ribosomal RNA", at positions 330 to 793 of the family's 1533-position model. The record is from RNAcentral.